This 514-nucleotide ribosomal RNA is filed under the name Penicillium corylophilum. RNAcentral's name for it is "eukaryotic LSU rRNA". The stretch from base 162 to 315 matches the Rfam family "5.8S ribosomal RNA". Lineage: Eukaryota; Fungi; Ascomycota; Eurotiomycetes; Eurotiales; Aspergillaceae. The record is from RNAcentral.
CUCUGGGUCCAACCUCUUUCCCCAUGUUUAUUGUACCUUGUUGCUUGGCGGGCCCGCCUCACGGCCGCCGGGGGGCUUCUGCCCUCUGGCCCGCGCCCGCCGAAGACACCAUUGAACACUGUCUGAAGAUUGCAGUCUGAGCAAUUAGCUAAAUAAGUUAAAACUUUCAACAACGGAUCUCUUGGUUCCGGCAUCGAUGAAGAACGCAGCGAAAUGCGAUACGUAAUGUGAAUUGCAGAAUUCAGUGAAUCAUCGAGUCUUUGAACGCACAUUGCGCCCCUUGGUAUUCCGGGGGGCAUGCCUGUCCGAGCGUCAUUGCUGCCCUCAAGCACGGCUUGUGUGUUGGGCCCCGUCCUCCUUCCCGGGGGACGGGCCCGAAAGGCAGCGGCGGCACCGCGUCCGGUCCUCGAGCGUAUGGGGCUUUGUCACCCGCUCUUGUAGGCCCGGCCGGCGCUUGCCGACAACCAUCAAUCUUUUUUCAGGUUGACCUCGGAUCAGGUAGGGAUACCCGCUG